UACGUAGGGGGCAAGCGUUGUCCGGAAUCAUUGGGCGUAAAGCGCGUGUAGGCGGCUUGGUAAGUCCGUUCUGAAAGCCCGGGGCUCAACCCCGGGAGGCGGAUGGAUACUGCUGAGCUCGAGUCCGGAAGAGGCGAGUGGAAUUCCUGGUGUAGCGGUGAAAUGCGCAGAUAUCAGGAGGAACACCAAUUGCGAAGGCAGCUCGCUGGGACGUUACUGACGCUGAGACGCGAAAGCGUGGGGAGCAAACAGG
RNAcentral lists this ribosomal RNA (253 nucleotides) under uncultured bacterium. Its description in RNAcentral is "partial 16S ribosomal RNA". It matches the Rfam family "Bacterial small subunit ribosomal RNA", at positions 524 to 776 of the family's 1533-position model. The record is from RNAcentral.